GCUGGGUGCAGUGGCGCACACCUGUAAUCCCAGCAGAUCGGGAGACUGAGACAGGAGGAUCACAAGUUCAAAGUCAGCCUCAGCAACAGUGAGGUGCUAAACAACUCAGUAAGACCCUGUCUCUC
RNAcentral lists this small RNA (125 nucleotides) under Marmota monax (woodchuck). The record is from RNAcentral. Lineage: Eukaryota; Metazoa; Chordata; Mammalia; Rodentia; Sciuridae.